This 271-nucleotide long non-coding RNA is filed under the name Mytilus galloprovincialis (Mediterranean mussel). Lineage: Eukaryota; Metazoa; Mollusca; Bivalvia; Mytilida; Mytilidae. The record is from RNAcentral.
CUGCUGUUGUUUUCUGUCUGUAAUAUUGUUAUUAUGAACGAGUAAAAUAUUUCUUGGACUGCAGUGUUUUUCAAGCUGGAAAUGAUAUAAGAUCAAAGGGAAAGAACAAUAAACUCUGAAACUGCAGUGUUUGGAGCAACCUGCAGACAUGACUUUCCGCAACAGGUUGUUUUUAGUUUAAAACCUGUAUCGAUUUAAAUUAUGAUUAUAGUAUUAAGUAAAUGCGUGGUUACAUAUGUUUAAGGUUACAAACUAUUUAGUUUAUGUUUCG